GAUGAACGCUGGCGGCGUGCUUAACACAUGCAAGUCGAAUGGGAAAACUUUUAUUGAAGCUUCGGCAGAUUUAGCUGGUUUCUAGUGGCGGACGGGUGAGUAACGCGUGGGUGACCUGCCUUAUACAGGGGGAUAACAGUCAGACAUGGCUGCUAAUCCCGCAUAAGCGCACAGAGCUGCAUGGCUCAGUGUGAAACACUCCGGUGGUAUCAGAUGGACCCGCGUGGGAUUAGCUGGUUGGUUGGGUAACGGCCCACCAAGGCGACGAUCCAUAGCCUGCCUGUGUGAGUGGCCGGCCAGAUUGUGACUGACGCACGGCCCAGACUCGUACGGGAGGCAGCAGUGGGAAAUAUUGCACAGUGGGGGAAACCCUGAUCAACCGACGCCGCGUGAAGGAAGAAGUAGCUCGGUAUGUAAACUUCUAUCAGCAGGGAAGAUAAUGACGGUACCUGACUAAGGAGCCCCGGCUAACUACGUG
RNAcentral lists this ribosomal RNA (478 nucleotides) under uncultured bacterium. RNAcentral's name for it is "partial 16S ribosomal RNA". It matches the Rfam family "Bacterial small subunit ribosomal RNA", at positions 28 to 507 of the family's 1533-position model. The record is from RNAcentral.